This 151-nucleotide ribosomal RNA is filed under the name Durinskia baltica. Its description in RNAcentral is "partial Bacterial large subunit ribosomal RNA". It matches the Rfam family "Bacterial large subunit ribosomal RNA", at positions 1303 to 1454 of the family's 2925-position model. The record is from RNAcentral. Lineage: Eukaryota; Dinophyceae; Peridiniales; Kryptoperidiniaceae.
UGAGUAGCGAAUGACGUGUGAGAAACACGUCCUCCGAAAGACCAAGGGUUCCAGGGUCAAGCUAAUCUUCCCUGGGUAAGUCGGGACCUAAGGCGAGGCCGACAGGCGUAGUCGAUGGACAACGGGUUGAUAUUCCCGUACCGGCGAAGAA